UUCCGAAGGGGAAUGUUUAUUUCCUUUCCCUCGUUCAACUAUAAGUACUCCGAGAGAGGGUUCUCGAAGGAGUACGUUGUAAGGCUCUGUGAUUUUCCGUUAUCGACGAUUCUGUGUUCGUUGUAGGGCUUUGUGAUUUCCUUAUAUCGUCGACAGAUUCAAAAUCGCUACCAUUAAAGACUAGGUUUUACAGUUUCUUCUGUAAUGUCGAAGGUCAAGCAUGUUGGUUACGGCACUAUCCCAUCUUCUGGACCCUCGACUUCGAACUCGAUCCCUAUUCCGUCUUCUGGAGCCUCGAAUUUGAACUAUGGAGUCAAUUUUAUCUCUCGCGCAAAGGAAAGGGGAAGAGCAAUCAUCGCUACGCGGCGUCCAUGGAGAGAGCUCACAGAUUUAACUGCUUUUGGCCGUCCAUAUAGCUAUGGUGAAGCGAUGGUUCGUAUCAGGCGUAAUGCCAAUUAUUUCCGUGUCAAUUACGCCUUUAUCAUGUUGUUGAUACUGUUCUUGAGUCUUCUGUGGCAUCCGGUUUCGAUGAUAGUCUUCUUGAUCGUGUUUAUAGGUUGGUUCCACCUUUACUUCUUCCGUGAUGAGCCAUUGGUGGUAUUUAGCCGAACUUUUGACGAUCGUGUAGUUCUGAUUGUAUUGAGUUUGGUUACCAUUAUUGCCCUGGUUCUGACUCAUGUGGGAUUAAAUGUCUUGGUUUCUCUUAUUAUUGGAACUGUGAUUGUUGGGCUGCAUGCUACCUUUAGGAUUACAGAAGAUCAGUUUCUGGAUGAGCAGGAAGCUGCCGAUGGAAGAUUGCUUUCUGUUGUUGGAAGUCCGACUUCUAUGAGACCAACUUACGGUCGUGUUUGAGUCGGAUGUUUGGUGCUUUGGAUUGUGCACUGGUGAUUAGGUUGUUGUGUGGUGAUUGGAUAAUUGGAAUUAUGAUUUGAAACAAGUUGCAUUGAGUUUCAUUCGUCGGAUAUGCGGGCUGACUUCUUUAACUGUGCUGUAAAUGGUUUGGGGACAAAGAGAUGGGAUUCUCUACCUGCAUAUCUUUUGCUUUUGUUAUCGGAAGGUACAUCACGGAGGAGGAAUUGAUUUUAAGUGUCCCAUUGUAGCUUCCUGUAGAGCAGAUACUAGCUCUGACAACUCCAUCUGCAUAGAACUGCUUGAUCCUGUGCUUUUUGUGGAUGACUGAAGAUAAGAUCUGUCAGGGCUGGUACAGUUGGACUUUCCUUUGUUUAUGUAUAAGCACUCCUUUAGCAACAUCCUGUUCUGCGGAUUGAUCUGGGUUUGCUGAGUUGAAAUUGUGUGUGCUUAAUGUGCAACCAUCACAUUCUAAUUUUUGUUAGCAAAGAUUAAUCCCAUCUCGACAUGCAUUGGUUUUUUUUUUUUUUUUUUUAAUACCAGUGUUUCUACAUGCAUUGAAAUGAUAGAUUUUGGUUGAUUUCUGUAUCUUGCAAAGCAUAGCUGAUGACAGUACAGAUAGUCAAGUUAGUGUUUUGGCUUAUAAAUAUUGGUCUUCUUCACGACCACUCUAUCAAAAUUCGAAAUGUUCUUUACAGAUCAUUGCUUAUUGUGAGAGCAGAGAUUUAAUUCUAGUGGUUUGCAUGUGUGUGAGCAAGUCCUUAUUUGUAGUUCUUUUUGGUGGUUUGCCUAUUAUUAUUUCUUAAUAUACCUAUAAUAGGAUUUUGCUUCUUUUUUUCCUAGUUAUCAUGAAUUGAACGUUUAUACUGAUUUGUUUGUUCUCGUUUUCCGGAUUAUAUCUUUUUACAAGUAAACUCCAUAAUCUACUGCCUUAUGGAAAGGGAUUAUUACUCCCGUUGUAGUCCAAGUGCGGCUGAAGCCAAAGAUUGCAGAACAGAGAUGCUAUUCUUUCUAGUGGAUGCCAUGGGUUUCCAAUUCCUGAAUUUCAGAGCGGCUCCUUGUCUAUCAUCUAUCACCUGAAACAUCAAUUGGGUAAUCCCCAGAUGUUGACUAGGAUGCAAAGAUCAUCUUAUAUGAAGUGCUUAAUCUGAACUCUCAAUUACCUUGGGUUUUGUUAGUUUUUCUUACUGGUCUGUUAAUGAUGUGCCCAUCAUUUGGCAGGACUCAGGAGGGUGUGCACCCAAUCUUCGCCAAAUAGAAAUUCUCCCACGCUUAUCUUGUCUCGUAUCAUAUCCAUGGCAUAAGGAAUCGGAAUCUGCUGGCUCUGAUCCUGAAUCUGAUUCCGGCCAAUUUAAACCCCCUGUGAUGGGUUGGCCGAUCCGGUUGAUCUGCUAGCUGCAUAAUGAACAUGUCUCCUUCUGAAAUGCACAAGGGGGAGAAAUGGAGUUGCAGUGGUCAUCAGGUGGUUCAGCGGAAGGGCUACUUCUUUGUACCUGUUGCCCUGAGACUAAAUAAAGGCAGAAAGAUCCUUAGUUCCUCUUUUUCUAUUUUUAUUUCCUAUUUUCUUCUGUUGAUAGAACCAUAUGUUGGAGGGGAAAUGAAAUUGGUAUCGAAUACCAAGUUUAAUUACUUUUUUAUUUUUAUUUUUAGAUCAUUGGUUCACAUUUCACAUAAUCUUAUGUUUUGUCCCUAGUAACCGAUGCUACAUUAUUUGGUCUCCAGCCUGAUGUUGCUACUUGGUUCGUAGUAACAUAUAUAGCAUUUUUACCUGGUUCAUAGCAACCUAUGCUGUAAUUAUAUCUGUAAUCUCUAUUUGAGGGUCAUAAGUGCAUCUAUAUUUGGCAUUUUU
RNA transcript from Macadamia integrifolia, 2698 nucleotides. It is a transcript of the gene named PRA1 family protein F3-like, with no coding region annotated. Lineage: Eukaryota; Viridiplantae; Streptophyta; Magnoliopsida; Proteales; Proteaceae. The record is from RefSeq and is a predicted model, not a curated record. The transcript has 3 exons.